Molecule: unclassified non-coding RNA, 395 nt
Filed under: Zea mays
Lineage: Eukaryota; Viridiplantae; Streptophyta; Magnoliopsida; Poales; Poaceae
Description: misc RNA Zm00001eb182350
Source: RNAcentral
ACCAGAUAUUAAUCCCAUCAGCCAUCACGAUUCACGCCAUCAGCGAAUCAGCAAAGCAAUCAGCCAAGAGCCAACGUCCGUGCAUCCAUCACAGCUGUUCUCAGAUUACAACCAUGGCGCCUAGAAAGCAUCCAUCUGGUAGUAAGAAAAGGAAGAGAAGGAAAGAAGUAGAGGAAUUUAUAGAAUCACAAAGAGGUGCCAUGGAUAAAUUUGUUCGCACUAAUACAAGAACUUCAAGUAAUGAAGAUCAACCAAAUUUGGCUAUAGUUGUUGUGGCGGAACAACCAAAUACCAACGAAGAAGAGGAAUGGAGAAGUUCAUGAUAGAAAAUAUCAACGACUAUAUCCCUCGGAAUUUGACCCAAGGAAUUUGGGUAAUCUUGAUAACAAGUCGAG